GAAAAUUGUCAACCACUCCUUCCUUAGGGGGUAAAAGCAACAUUCGGCACCGGGGGCAGGUCAAGGCGAGGCGGUCACGUGGCAGGCGCCCGGGCCAAUGGGGGGCCCCGGGAGGACUCAGCACCCGCCUCACCCCAACACCAGGCUCGCCUCUUCAGCUCAUAUAAGGUAAAAGGCAGAGGGCCCCUCUGUGGCCAAGGAGCAGCGGGCAAGGGGCUAAGGGGAGGGGGGCCCAGUGCCAGCCGUUUAAAAAUGCCCCGUGGCGGUAAGGGGUGCCAGAGGCCCGGUCAAGUUAGUUGAGAAGCAGUGACGCCCCCAACCGUCCCCUAAAUGGGCUGCCCCCCGUGUCCGCGCCACAAGGAGCCACACCUGGACCAGACCCCAGGAGAGGUAAGAACCAGUGGCAGACAUGGCGUCUGCGAAUCGGGGGGCAUCUGUGGCAUCCGCCACAGGGGCAUGCUGUAGCCAGGGGUCUGGUCCUUGCUCUCUCGCUAACCUGCUCUGCGCUUCCACCUUUCCGGGCCUCAGUUUCCCCAUCCGUCCAGGGGCCGGACUGGACGAUCUCUAAGUGCCCACCCUGCCCUGACCGGAUGGGCGGGGUCUGUGGUCCAGUUGGCCCGGAGGGCUCUGUGGCUGUGGUUAAGUGGGGGGUGGGAGCGGUCGGCGUUCGUGUCCUGCCGGCCCUGGGCCCAUCUCCCCGGCUUCUCUGGAGACACUGCUUCUUCCUUGCUCUGGGAGGUUUGAUUUCACAGCUCCAAAAGCCUGGGGCUCCUGGCAAGGAAAGCUGUUUUCAAAUAAUGGUUUCAAGAAGCAAAGCCGAGGCGAAGCUAUGUCAGCGCAGGCUCCAGCAGACCGGCAGAGGGGCGGGGAAGGCCAGGGUGCCGGCUGGGGGCUGGGGACGUGGGCUCCAGCCCCAGCUCUGCCUCUCACUGCCUGGCCCUGUGGCCCUGGGCAGGCACCCUACCCUCUCUGGGCUGCAGUUUCCCAUCCGUACCACGAAACCGUGGGACAACAAGGUCUCCGUGCAGGAUGUGGCUUCUGGAGCCCUACUGCAGCCUAAAGGGCAGCCAGUGCCGGAAGUACCCCGCCCCCCACCCGAGUCCCUGAGCUGAGAGUCCACGCAGAUGCCUGAAGCCCAUGGGAGCGUUCAGAGGUUGAGCCUCAAGUGGCGGAAAGGAGCCCAAGGGUCUCCGACUGUAGGUUUGGCCAGGGGAGGGCCAGCCCACAGCCCCGAGGCCUCAGGAUGAGCCUGGCCCUGUUGCAGCCUCUGGUGGGGAAGGGGCUGAUCUCUGGACCAGGGGGUGCAGGGCCUCGGGGUGCCAUAAGGACCGAACACACAGCAGAGGGUUUCAGGAGGAGUGACGCGGUGUGGUGGGGGCCUCGGAGGAAGGCAGCAGACACGCGAGGCAGGGCUGUGCAGGGGCAGAGGCCUGGGAUCGGCACCGGAAGGUGUGCAGGCAGUAUCGCUCUUCUGAAUAUGCUCUGACCACAUCUGGGGCCCAGAGUGGACACAACCCUCCAACGCCAGCCCGCCCACCACCUUCGCUUGCCCCACUCUGGUCACAUAAGACCUGAGGCCAUAAUGGUCCCAAAGGAGACUCUGGAAUCCAACUGCCUGGGUCCAAUCCUGGCUCUUUUACUUCCCAGACACGUGACCUUGGGCGAGUCACUUGCUAUCCCCAAGCCUCAGCUUCCUCCUCUAUAAAAUGAGUAUGGUUCUGACGUCACUUGGUUGUCAUGAAGAGAGAGGGACACAGGCACCCAAGAGCAGGGUAAAUGGGGCUGGUGUCAUGUUACCACCGGACCCUACUCCUCUCGAGGGGCAAGAUGACCUUAGCUCUGUUUAGAGAAAAGUGGGAAUGAAACUCAGGGAGCACUCAGAGUUGCUGAAGAGAGAAGGUACAGCAGGCAUGAGUUCAAAGGCCAGAGGUUAAGCCGUCGGUGGGGCCCCAGGAAUCUGCAUUUCAAGCUCCUGGGGGGAGUUCCCACACAUGUAGAGUUUUGUGGGGUUUUUUAAUUUUUUUUUUUAAUUUAUUUGUUUUUGAGACAGAGAGAGAGCAUGAACGGAGGAGGGUCAUAGAGAGAGGGAGACACAGAAUUCGAAACAGGCUCCAGGCUCUGAGCUGUCAGCACAGAGCCCGAUACGGGGCUUGAACUCACGGACCGCGAGAUCAUGACCUGAGCUGAAGUCGGACACUUACCGACUGAGCCACCCAGGCGCCCCUGUAGAGUUUUAAGAAUGCUGUGAGGCCAAGCAGCCGAGACCCUCACAAACACAGCUGAGGGAACUGGAUCCAAUAAGAGAGCACUGCUCUAGGUCAUGCAGAGAGCCGAUGACAGGGCUAGAACAGAAGCAGCCGGCCUCCCGAAUCCCGGACUCCAUGGUGGCGGUGCAGAUACGAGAAUUAUAUUGCGAUUGCCAUGGUCCAGCCAUUACCUAAGGUCUUUACAUGAAACAAUUCACUAAAUCAUCACAACAACCCUGUGAGGUAGGCGCGAUUAUGAUCCCCAUUGGACAGAUGAAGAAACUGAGUCAUGGAGGCUAAGUGACUUGCCUAAGGUCACCUAGCUUGCGAAUUGUUAAGGCUGGACAUGUAUUGUGCCAGCUGCCCCAGCUGCUCUCUCCCCCCGGGGUCUCCCACCCCCUGCCCCUCGGCCACUCCACCCCAGAACUUCCUGCUGACCCUCCAAUGUGGGGGUGACCUCGUGAAUAUACAUGGAGGAUUUCCUGGGAGGCCAGGUACCAGGCUGAAUCACUUGUAGUAUCAUUUAAUCUUCCCAGGAUUACCCAGAGGCAGGAAUCAGCAUCAUUUCAUUAUCCCUAAUUUAUAGAGUAGGAAACCACUGGAGCUCACCCAAGGUCACACAACUAAGAAAGUGGCAGAGGGGAUUUGAACCUAGUCCGCAGCUCCAAAAUACACGCUCUUGGCUUGCCCACCACAACACCUCGAAGCAGGGAGGAGGGAUCCCAUUUCAGAGAGGAGAUUGGCUAAGACGGUGAUCUCGCCAGAACUUGAAGCCAAGUGUUCUAGUUAGUUUCAAAGCCACCGUUUUUUCCUCAGCCCCACGGCUGCCCCAGGAUAGAAAGGACUUUGUCCCGACUCGCUAAGAGCCACACUGCAGCUCUCUGGGCAAAAUCAGCCCUUUCCCAGAGUGGCCAGUUGUGGGAAAGAGCCGACACACAUCGCUCUGGGGAAUAGAAAGUUCCAGGCCCAGUGUCACCGCGAACCCUCGGGGCUGUAUCUGAUUCCCCGUGCGAGCCCUGAGGAGCUAGGGAGAUGGUCUCCGAGGUCCUCACCGCUGGGCUAUGCCUGGGUCCUGCCUCAACCACUGUCUUCCAAGUGAAUAGUCCCCAGGGCACAGGGCCGUGGGGUCGUGCAAAAACCUGUGAUGAAGGCUUUUUCUGAUGGUUGCUAUUAUGACUACUUUUGUCCACGUCUCCUGGUGCUUGUGAGCCGGAGUUUCUCUGGAAUUUAUACCUUGAGAGAGAGAUUGCUGGGGUCUGGCCUACAUGCCUGGUCAACUUUACAGGAGAGCACUGGCUCGUCCCCCAAAGUGGCUGAAUCAAGUUGCACUCCUACCAGUUGCAUACAAGCAUCCCCCGCCUUCACAACACUUAAAACGGUCGGAUUUCUUUUUCUUUUCUUUUUUUUGGGGGGAGGGGGGAGGGAAGAGGGAGAGCGUGAGCAGGGGAGGGGCAGCCCGAAGCCCGACACAGGGCUGGAUCUCACAAUCACGGGAUCAUGACCUGAGCUGAAAUCAAGAGGGGAGGCUUGACUGACUGAGCCACCAGGCGCCCCCUAGAGUUUACUUUAAAAAAAAAAAAGGAUGAAAAAGAAACAAAACUCUGCUCGCCGCUGUCCACAUGGGUGUCUAGAAGGCCCCCUUCCAUGCGCCAAGCCGCAGAGCACCCUGGAGGCCCUGGGGCAGGAUGAGCACUGCUCACGCGGCCUUCCCCCGGCCCAGCGGUGUGAGGCGGCUACGCUCCAACCAGAGGCCGCCUGCCCGAUCAUCUGCAGGAAUUUGGGGGAAAGAGCCCACGGGGGCUGCCAUCUCCGGACGGCCUGUCUAGACAGGCCCCGCGGGACUUCACCACACAUACGAGGGCCACAGAGGCGGCCCCCUCCCCGCUUGCAAAAGCGACUUAUUGGCAGCCAUGCUUCUCCACCAGAAACCUUUUCUCCAAUUCAAAACCCGCCUUAGCGCACGGCAUGAAUCACCUAUUCCCACGGCCCGUGGAGACCAACUCAUCCGGGCCCCUUUUGUCCAGAUGAGGAAACCGAGGCCAACUCCUGAGCGAAGGGGCUUUCAGAGGUGGGGUGAUACUCUUUGCCCAGGUGAAGAGGGGACUGGGAUUGGGCGGGGGGGUCAGACGGCUGCCAGAACAGGGCUAAAAUACAAGAGGCUGGUGGGGGGCGCCUGGGUGGCACGGUCAGUUAAGCCUCCAACUUCGGCUCAGGUCGUGAUCUCACGGUUCAUGAGUUCGAGCCCCGCGUCGGGCUCUGUGCUGACAGCUCAGAGCCUGGAGCCUGUUUUGGAUUCUGUGUCUCCCUCUCUCUCUCUGCCCCUCCCCCGCUCACACUCUGUCUCUCUCUCUCUCUCUCUCUUUCAAAAUAAACAUUAAAAAAAAGAAAGAUGCAAGAGGCUGGCGGUUAAAGGUGCCGAAUGGCAGUCAGGCUGCCUGGGUUUGAAUUCCAGAUCUUUCUCAUAGCAUCUGUGUGACAGGGGGCGUGAUAAGAAUUCCUGUCUCCUCAGGUUACUGAGUUGCCUGGAUUAAACGGGCUCAAACGCAUGAGGCCCUCAGAUCAGUGACCGGGCGCAGAGCAAGUGGUCAGUAGCAAAUAACUGCUAAAAUGUGCUAGCAGCCGUCCGGCUCAUCCACACAGGGUCUGCUCCAGGACCCCCAGGGCAUGCCUGAAACCGCAGGGGGCGCUGAGCCCUGUACAUAUUGUGUUUCUCCUAUGCACACCUACCAGUCACAAAGUUUACCUUGGAAGUUAGCCACAGUGAGACGCUAACAAUAACUAAUAACACAGACCAAUUACAACAACGUAUCGUAAUAAAACUUCUGUGAGGGUGGCGUCUCUCUCAAAAUAUCUUAUCGUACUGCACUCACUCUCUUUGUGAUGAUGUGAGAGGGGAAAGUGCCUACCUGAUGACACAGGCGCUGUGACACAGCCUUAGGCUGACCUUCUGAGGCGACUUCGGAAGGUGGGUCACCUGCUUCUGCACGGACCGCCAUUGAGCGCGGGUAACUGGAACCGUUGUACUCAAGGCAGCUUCUUUGGGAGGGAAGGAGGCGCCGUAGUGGGCUCCAACUCUUCCUUCCCUCGGGGAGGGGAUAAACUGCCCUUGUUCUUGCAAAAACACCAACUGCCGCCUGCCGAGUCUUCCCAGGCGCCUGGCCCUUGGCCCCUCUCUGGGGUCCCAGAGGCUCAGAGAGAGGUAGUCAUUUGCCUGAAGUCACACAGCUCGUAAGAGGCCAAGCUGGAGCUCAGACCCAGGUCUGGCUGGCUCCAGGACCCCGUGCCCAUAGCUCCAGCGCCGCCCAAUGAGUCAGUGAGCGAGAGUUGGCCUGCCCGAUAGGACCGACUAGGCAUUUGGAAAGGGGACCGUUUGAAGCCUGGUGCCUCCUUCUAGAUUAAGUAUUGUUAUGGUGAGGGGAUAGAUGGAGCUCCCCCUACCCCACCCCAUCCUCCCCCCCCUCCAUCCACACACUUGCUCAAGGGCAAAAAUGCAAACCUUGGCCAAACCAUCCUUCUGGCCAAUGAGCACCCCGUAGUGUGGACUGAGUACCCUUGGGGGGGCCCAUCAGUCCUGGGUGCCCCUCACCCAGCACCACCCAGCAGAGAUUUGAGGAGGGGGCAGUGAGCCAGACCAAGGCUGAAAGAAGCAGCCUCACCUCAGCCUUCCCUGAGCACCCGUAUGGGCCGCAAGCCUAGGUCCCUUCCUGAAUGGCCCUCCUCUGCCCCAAGCCAUGCAUCCAGGGAGAAGGAGAAGCCCCGAACUGGGAAACACACUGGCCCCAGUGACCUUAACAGGGACACUGCUCAGCUGCCACUAGCUUCCACCCCGUACCAUCUUCCUCCUCCUCCUCCUCCUCCUCCUCCUCCUCUUCUUCAUUCGGCAAACAAGGAUGGGGCUGAAGUGUCCAGAGGGAGGCUGCCGCCUCAGGAUGGCAUCUGUAACAGCCAGGGCACCACCCCUGGCUGGUCUUCCAGGCUCAGAGGCCACUGGCCUGUCUCCCCGGAGCCUGCCAGACCUCAGGCAUGUGACCUGACAACCCCAUUGAAUCCAGGGGUGUCGGCUGAGAUAAACUGGGGCAAGAUGGCGAUAAAAGGAAAGAAUCAGGCUAGGACUCGGACCCCAGCUCUGCAGCUAACACACUGGGUUAAGUUCCGCUGUCCCUCCAGGCCCUUUAGGCUGUGAUGCUCCAUGAUUUGGGCUGGAAGGGAGAUUGCUUGGGUCAUCCCAUGGGUGAUGGUGGCUGCCUGGACUGUCAGGGAGGGAGAACCUGGAGUAGGGGUGGUCGGAGCGGCAUGGCAUGCUCUGGAUAGACAGCGAAGAGAAGGGAAGGCUUUCCAGGUCGAGAGUUCUGUGUGCAAAGGUAUGGAGGCGGGACUAGGAGGGCAUUUUCAGAACAGCAAACAAGCGCAUUUGACCGGAACGGAGGGUAGGUCUAAAGCCGGGUGAGAUCUGAGGCUGGCGAAGUGGGGAAGGUUGGAUGGCGAAGCGGCCUUAAUAGCCUACAACCAAAAUGCCAUUAAGUGGUAGAUGUCCUUCUUGGUAUCUGUCUCGGGAGGGAGUCCCUUUCUUUAUUUAGCCUGCUUGUAUCCUUUCCCCAACACCGUCAGGCCAAGAGCCCCAGCGCAGGGGAGAGCCCUGGGAAUUUGGCAUUAGUGACUCUGAGAUAUCAAAUAAUGGGAUAGGAGACCUGGGGUGGGAUUAGGAAGGGUAGGGAGCCUGAGAGCUGUAGUCGCCAUGUUUAAACCUCCAAAGAGCUUUCUAGGGAACAGACACUUGUUCCUUGUAACCUUAAAGGACAGGACGUGCAGUCCCAGAGGGGCAGCUGUCAGUAGGAAUAUUAGGAAGGACUCUCCAAGAGUCUGUCCAAAGAGAGAUGAGGUGAUUGAGCUCCCCGUCCCCAGAGGUAUGCAAGCUUAACACGGACACUGUGGAGAGAAAUCAAGUUAGAAGAGUUUGAGCCUCGUGGCCUUUCCCACCACCAGCCUGGAACUUCACAUCACAGCCCCGGCUGCCUUGGGACUGAACUCCCCUGCUGCCUGGAUGUCAGAUUCCCAGCUGGGCAUGACAUCAGUUCUGCCCUGACUUCACAAGGGCCCUCUGGGGACCCUCCUCCCCUCCACUUCCUUUCACCCCACUGCUGCUUUUCGUCCUUCCCAGGGAACCCACCAGGCCUGACCAGGGAGACCUGGAGCCUGCUUAUAAGACUGGGUCUCCAGGGAGCAUUCAGCCGAUGGCCUUCCACCCCAGCAAGAAUGAGGCAGAGGGGGCCCGGGUCCCUGGGAGCUCUGUUCACACGCCCCCGAGAGUCUACAUGGAAAUUCCAGGAGGGUCACAGGGAAGCUUCCAAUUUAGAACAAGACGCUUUAUUUUUGUCCCUAUUUCUUUCCUGUCCCUCUUUUCCCUUAGCAGUGGGUGGGGGUGUCACAGGAGGCUGUAAGAGGAAAGCAAGCCUCUUUGGGCUGAGUCACAGAAAGGCUGGGUGUGCAGAGAUGGGCCGUGGGCAGAUAGGAAGGGGAACCACAUAGGGCAGCCGUGUGGGAAAGAGUAGAGAGAGGCCAGGGCAGAGCCACGGGGACAGCCAGGCCUCGGCAGUGACACCAGAGCUCCGUGAGUUCUGGGUUCAGCCUGGGGUCAGAGAAUCAGCCCGGGUUCAGGAUUGGGGUUCCCAGGAACCUUGGGCACCGGGUCCCCACCUCAAUGGAUUAUAAAGCUACAGAGUAGUACUGAAUCCCUCUCGCUCACCCUGGCGAUCCUAGCAGAUGCUUAGUCAUCAUUCCUGGUGUUGAAUUUUAAACUCAUAGUGUCAUUAUCCUGUUAGAGCGAAAAGGGACCUAACAAGAGCGUGUUAUAGAUGUGGAACCUUGAGGCCAACAGCGGGGUGGGGUGGGGGAGGGACUUGCCCAAGAUCACACUGCCAGGGUGGCCGCCUAGCCUGGUGCAUCCUUCUUUGCCUCUUCCCUGCCUGUAUCCAGAGAUGGAAGCUACGAUAUGGUCCUCAAAGCCAAGGGAAGGGGACAGAAGAGAGGCAGGUGCCCCCCCAGGACAUAACUAUCCCCAAGAAGUAGUCAAAAGAUGACGGUGUAUCUUGAGUUCUAACUGCUCUGCUCAGGAACGCUCUUUUCCUGCCCAGAGAUAGUCCCUCACGUUGUCAGCUGCUGCAGACGGGAGGCCUCCUGCAGAGGAAAGAGCCCAAGGCUGGGAGGGGAAGCCCUGGGUUCUAUUCUUGGCUCUGCCUCAACCCUCCAUAUGACCUUGAGCAUGACCAUGAGUGUGAGGUCUUUUCUGGCCUCAGUGUGUUCAGAGCGGGGCUGGACCCAACCAGCUUAAACGGUCAGAGAUUCCACCCAUGAUCUGCCUCAGUCUCCCCUCCUCUCUCCCUGUCUCAAUCCAUCUAAGCUUUUGCCUGAGCACAGGAAGUCAGCCAGGACGAAAACAGCAACCUGUAGAUUCCCCUCUACUGGGAGCAGCAUCCUCUCUGCCCAAGCUCUGCUGUCCAGCCUCGGACUUCCCAGAGAGGCAAGAAGCUGGAACGGCCCUGAAGAUCACCCCAGUGGGGGAAUCAGAGACCAGAGAGGUUCAGCAUAUUGCUCAAGGUUACACAGCAAACCAUGUGCAAAUGGGAAGUGGGCCCUUGGGUCCCCCGAUGCCCAGACCAGUGCCCUCUCCACUAACCACGCUGCCCUUUAGGGUAAUGGGCACGUUAGCCAUCCACGCGUGAGCCUGGGAUCUAUUUACCUUGACACCUCAAACGUCCACACAGUCUCUUUCCCUCUCUGGGAUGCAGUUUCUUCUAAAAACAGGGAGAUGGCAUGGACCAGAUGUUUCUCUAAGGUCUUGCACUCCAUCACUGGGGCUCCACCAGGACCCCAGGGCUUUCCAGUGUGGCCACCCCAGCCCUCUCUUCACAGACGAUGGAGCUACCCUCCUCCCCUCCCCCCAACCGGCCAGGACAUCCCACCAAGUCACAGCCCUCACCCAGACUGUCCCACCCUGGACCCCAGGGCUGGGCCUCAUCCAGAACUACAGGCUCCUGGCCCAGCUCCCCCUCUGGGGAUCUGAAUUUUUCUUACCAUAAAAGGGCAAGCGUGCCUCUCUCCCCGUCCCUGCUGCCAGCCCCGCUGGGGGAAAGGCUGAGCUAUUUUUAGAAAACUCAAGGGUUUGCUCCUGGACUUGAGAUGGAGCUUGUCGGAGCCUGCAGCCCGGGGAGCCCCUUCCCCAUCUCCCUCGCCCGCCUUCUCUCCCUCUGCCCCUCUUCUCACCCCUCACCCCCUCUUCACUCACUUUCUUCCUCGCCCUGCCUCUCUCCCUCUUGCCCUUCGGUCAAUGACUCCUCCCUCUUCCUCCCCGUCUCCUCUCUCUUCUCCCCCAUCUCAUACACAGCUCCCCUCCCCCCCCAUCCCCUCCUUCAGAUCCGGCUUUUGGAAGAUGGAGAGAGUAACACAUCUUCACCCCCAUCCCCUUCUUAAACACUAUUUACAACAUAAAUUCCAAACAUCCGCCAUCUGGUUCUAGGAAGGGCCAAAAGAUAUUUAGAAAAGGAAGUCAUGAUUAUUCCAUCUUCAAAGCCAAAGGAACUUAAAGGCCCCCUCUCUCCCGCCUCCCUCCCAGGGCCUCUUUGUUAAGAUCUAACAGAUUAGGAUCCCUCCGUGAGUAGAAAGAGCCAGUCCCAGCUGGGCCUCGGACUGCAUCACUUUGAGCGGGUUGCCUCUCCUCUCCGUACCUCGGUUUUCCUCAUCCAAGCAAUGGGCGCGAGAUGAGGUUGCCUCCAGCACUAACGUUCUGAGACUUUGAGUCCUGCUGCAGAAAACCCACCCGGCCCAGGUCCCUGUGGCCUGCUCUGGGCUGAGCAUAGGGUGGGCUAGCAGGGGAAGCGAGUGAGAGCCAGCGGGGGAGUUCCAGCCUCAACCUUCGGUGCCCCUUCUCUCUCGCUCCGUGGAGAUCCAUGCAGACCGUCCACCUUCCAAUUCCAGCACACUGACACUAACACCAAGGGGAUGGGCUGGGGUCAAGCCAUCCCCCCAGUGGGAUACCAUGGAGUCCGGUCCCCUCCCCACCACAUCACAGUGAGGCCCAGAGAGGGGAAGGCUCUUUCCGCAAUCACACCGCAGGUGACCUGGAUUCUAACCAGCUGCUCUUCCCAUCCAGGACGCUCCAGAAGAAACCAGCAUUUGUAGUAUCCAGAGAGCGUCGCUCAGAGCCAGCAAACCGGGACCCUGGAGGCCCCACUUCUUUGCAAAGUGGACAGGGCAGAAGGGAGAACUAAUCCCUUUGCUGCGGUUGGUUGGUUUUAAACAGACAGCACGCUAGGGAAGAAGUACGAGAGGCAUAACGAAAAUGGAAAGUCUCCCUGCUUCUGGAGAUGUGCACCUUUGCCGGGGUCCGCACACCUCCGUUUACUCUGCAGAUGCUUCUUUGCCCACAGCCCCGUGUCCACCUCAGUGAACACAGGCCUGACGAAACGCCGUGAGACACUCACCCAGGCUGUCGCUCUAUAAAAAUGGUGCCGGGGGAUAGUCGGGUCUCACGGGGCAGCCGUGAAAACGCGUGUUGGGCUGGCCGAAGCCCAUCCUGAGCCUGACGCUCACCGGCCGUGUGACCUUGAGGGAGCGCUAUGACCUCUGCGAGCCUCAGUUUCUCCGUCUGGAAAAUGGGGGUGAAAACGGUACGCAACUCCUCUACGUGGUUGUGAGAAAGCCAGUGCAAAGCACUUAGCGAGUGUGGGGCGCAUCGAAAGCUCUUGUUAGGAUCACAGCAGGUCCCGGCGUAAGUGGGUGGUGGCUACUGUAACUGUCACUGUGUGUCCCUGCCUUUGUUCUCACUGGAAGGUCACGGUGAAUGAGAAGCACGGGGGUCCUCUAGCCCCCAGCCUCCCGGGGCCUGAGCACCAGGCUUGGUAUUAGGGGCCAGGCAGGUGGAACCCCCUUCCUCUCCCUCUCUUCCUCCAUCACUCUCAGUUCAGCCUCAAACUGCAUUCCCAGGGCUUGCUCAAAAGUCCCCAGCAGCAGCCUUCCCUGGGGAGGAAGUAGGGAGCGUGUGAGGCUAGUGAACUCAGCUGGGGUGUCAAGGGGGUGGGAGGGCGCCCUGGGAAACAGAGGCCCGGAGAAGCCGCAUCACCGAGGGGACAUGGAAAGGGGCCCCACGUGGUGGCUCCCACCCCAGCAUCCACAUCUUCUCUGGAUGCCUCUCUGGACCUUUGCCCCCAUCCUUCCUGCUUCCCUCCCUCCCAAGCCUAUGCCUCACUGUGGGUCCAGCCCCGGGCUCAUAAUGGAAAUGCAGCCAUGUAUGUGGGCUCCCUACAUGCCAGCAACUGCGCCUGCACUUGACACGGACCUCAGCUGACCUUCACAAACAAGCCUGAGGUCGGGGACCAAGUUCAGAGAGGUGAAGCCACCAGCUCUUGGUCACACAGCUAGAAAGAGCUAGGGGGAGGUUCGGUGCAGACCUGCCUGGCUGCAGGGCCUGGGUUCUCUGUUCUUUGCAAACGUCUGGUGGAAAUCCCAGGACCCUGGAGUCCAAGGAGGGCACAGGCUGCAAUCCGUGUACAUGCGUGAGGGAGCAAGGAAGGGGAGCUGAGGGCAAGGAAGCCCCUCCAGGGGGACCCGGCUGUGGGCACGGUUUCCUGUGCUUGCGAGGAGCUUCGAGCUCAGCCCUCUCCCACUGUGGUGCCAUCUGGCUCCCAGAUGUGGCCCAUUCCCAGGCCCUCGUGUUUCUUGGAAGUGAGCAAAGCCAGCAGAGGGCACAGCGGCUUUUGCAAUGACCGUAACGAUGUGAGCUUUGUUUCGGGGUCAUCCAGCAGGCCGCUGCUCAGGCUGGAUGGAGCGUGAGCCGCCCUGGGUUCAAGCUUCCUUCUGAUUCUUGCCAGUGGAUGACGCUGGGCACACUGCAGAGCCACUGAGAACCUCGGUUACGCGGGGAAGUUACUCCUACCCCUGGCGGAGGUGGUACCUUCAGUUAUGGAAGGAAGCACUUUGCAGGGUGAAAGCCUUGUGCAGCUCGAAGCGGUCACGGGCGGCCCCAGGGCUGUCCCCUCGGCCUUGGCCACUGUGGUAACCCAAAGUUUGGACCUACCCCUAAAUGGCUCCUUUCUGACGUCUGAGGCCGGAGGUGGAGCCAUUGGUCAGAGGGGCCUCUGGGAAACUUUCUUCCAGACCCCUUGUUUCGCGUUGGGGCCUUAGUGUGCUGGGAAGGGACCGUGGCCCCUGCUGCUCUUGGAGCUUAGAGCCACUCAGAACACUCCCUUGGAAAGCCGGGCAGGUAAAGUGGGGACAGUGGCUGCCUAGGGACUGAGGAGCAGGCUCUUUGGAGCUUGGAAGAUCCUAACAGCCUCAGCCUCAGACUUCUGGGGACCCAGCAGGAGGCCAGGCCCAUAUUCAGUCCCUCAGAGCCCGGAAGCCCAGUCAGGACCCACGGACGGCAGGGCUCUGGCCACAGGGCUCCCCAGCAUCCUUCUGAAAGGCUGUAUCUUUGUUUCUUUCAGGCAAGGGCACUGGCCGGUGGGAGCCACUCUUGCAACGCUGACAUUGGACGAGCAAGCACCCCAGAGAGGGCCUCCUGAGGACCAGAGAGGAGGGCAGGCGGCAGAGGCCCUGAAAACAGAGCUGUGAGUGCCUCCCCCACGCCUUCCACAGCCCCAGCCCUGCCACUGGGGGCUCCCGCAACAGCCCUGCGCGCCCCCAGGAUACCUCCCCAUCCCGACCCUCAGAAUGACCAGGAAACCAGGCCUUGCACUGGGAAGAGUUGAAGGAAGGCCCUGCUGACAGAGGGGGUGCGGGCCAUCAAAGCUGCUACAUGUGGGCUGUAGGAGAAAAGAAGUGAAGUCAGAGAAGGGAAAACCAAGCCGGAGCUAGAAAUCCACCCCACCCUACGCUCCCUACAAGCUAGCAACGAAAGCCUCUGCGCUACGGCGAACGACAGCCUUGGGGGAGGACAGCAGAAUUCCCUGGGAAGGAGUACACAGGGUCGGGCUCUAGAAGCAGACAGACCUGGGCGUGGUGAGCCUGGUGAUAACCAGCUCACAGGGCCUCGAAAGGGUCUGUGAGGUCAGGCGUGUGCCCGCUGCUGGGCACACGGUGAAGCCCAAGAAACCCGUCAUAGCUUUCGUCCCUUCUACCACAUUCUUCAACACUCGCCAGCUUUCGUUCCCCGCGGGUGGAGCAGGCAGGGGUGAGGUACCAGCUCCCUGAGGGCAGGUAGAGACACGGAGGCAGAGAGAGGCCGAGGCGCUCACUCUCAGAGCGGGGUUCUGGCACCGGGUCUCAGGAGGGUUGGAAAAAGUGGACAAAGACCUGAUGGCGGGAGAGGGGGAGGCAGGGCUCUGGCAGGGAGCUGACGCUCCAGGACAGGUGACGAGGCCCAGGCCUGGCUUAUAUAACGCAGCACACCUGUUCACCUCUGCACACGCCCCACGCUCGUUUGUGCGAGCAAACGUGGGCCCCCGCACAGCACACACCCCCGGGCCCUCACUCGCUAGCCAAUGAGCGUCAGAGCCCUGGCCUGAACAAAUUGGAUUAGGAGGGCUGCAGACACCUCUCCCCCCUCCUCCCCUCCCCCCCCCCUGCACUGUCCAGCUCCGACACUGAGCAGACCUGCGGGGCGGCCAGCUGCUGUCCCUCGGCCACGCUGACAGUCUGUCCUCCGUCCUGGAGACCUGCCCCUGGGCCCCCAGGAAGAGGGCCGGGGGUCUGAGAGGAUGCCGGGAUGACGGAUGGGCUGGCCCAAGAGCACACAGGAUGUCGGUGCUUGUGCAAGGCUCGUCUCUGAGCUGUUCCCAGCAGCCCAUCCCCUCCUCCCCUCCCACCUCCCUUCCCAAAGCCUCUCCCGUGAUCACUGCCGCCAGGGCCCAGAGCCCCGGCUCCCAGCAGACCCAUCCUCGUCAGUCCCACAGCUGGGCAGGCGAGAACUGGUCAGCCUGGGAGAAGAUGGCCUGGGGACAAGACACAAGAGAGAGAGAGAAAAAGGAGCUUAUGAACAGAGACAAUGCCGAUCAUAAAGGUGACAUCUCAGUGCGUUCUCAUGCAUCGUUUUGUUCCAUCAUCAGAGUGGGCCUGGGAGUUGAGAGAUUGUGCCCAUGGCACAGAUGUGACUACUGACGUCUGCUAUUCAGGGAUUCCACAGCUCCCCUUUCGUGAGCCCUGAGUCUGCUCCAGCCCCGAAUGGGGUGCUGGGAACACCGGCAUGAACGCCUUGGUGCGCCCAUCGCUAAACAGGUCAGGCUCCUUUGGGCUUGGCCGCUGGGCACUGGGGGCCCCCCGGUCUUCUGAGGGAGCGGCACCAGUAGGUAGAUGCCUUUUCCAUAUGGCACAGGUGAGCGGCUGAAUAUUACAGCGAGAGCAGCCUUAGCAAGCAGCCCAUUCCAAACACAGACCCUGAAGGCUGACAGCCCCAAGUGCAAACCCUGCCUUUCUAGCUGGAGAGCUGUAGUCCAGCUGGCCUCGCCAAGCCUGUUUUCCCUUCUGCGAAAUGGAGGUACAGAAGCUCCCCUUCGUGGGACUCACCGUUGAGGAUUAGUACUUUUCACACCCUCAUUUGACACAGGGAGACACAGAGGUGGGAGAGGGAAGAGGCCUGGCCAAGGUCACAGUGCGAGUUGGGGAUUAAGUCGGGACCAGAUAGAAACUCUCUUCCUCCACCCCUCAUCCCAGUAUAAAUCCUCCCCACGGUGGGGGUGGGGGGGUGGGGAGGGGGCUGGCUGGCUCAGUCCGUUAGGUUAAGCUUCUGACUUUGGCUCAGGUCACGAUGUCACAGUUCGUGAGUUCGAGCCCUGCCUCAGGCCCUGUGCUGACCGCUCAGAGCCUGGAGCCUGCUUCAGAUUCUGUGUCUCCCUCUCUCUCUGCCCCUCCCCCGCUCACGCUCUCUCUCAAAAAUGAAUAAACAUUUAAAAAAAAUCCUCCCCACGGGCUCCACCCCAAGUAGCCUAGAGGCCGUGACAGGCGGCUCAGCAAUAGAGGCAACUAUGGAGACAUAUCCUGGGACCCACCCCGUACCUUCAGCCCUGCCGCAGCCUCGGCAGCACCAGAGGCCCAGGUGCCCGGCAGUGGCCCCCAGCCCUCAGUGGUGGUGGAGGGUGGGGGAGUGCAGUGACAGUGACGGCUCUGGCCCAGAGCAGCCUGCCCAUAUAAGGGAAGGAGCUGGGGAGGCCUCCUCACUUGGGCCUGGCGAGAAAACCCAGACAGCCACUGUUUAUUUUCUCCUUCCCAGCCUCCCCGGAGCUUCCCAAGAAGACAGAGGCUCCCCCGGGCUGGGCUUGGCGACAUUUCCUGAAGACAGUAGGGAGCAGUGAGGGGAAACUGGCCCGUUUCUGGGAGCAACGCCGCAGACUGCCAACAGCCGGCACCAGGUAAGAAUCCGCCCGCUGUGAGUCUAAGGCCACCUGCUCAAGUGUCUCCUUGGACACAGGGGAAAGGGAGCCACAGAGAGGGGAAGCACGUGGGAGAAGUG
This 15684-nucleotide long non-coding RNA is filed under the name Lynx pardinus (Iberian lynx). The record is from RNAcentral. Lineage: Eukaryota; Metazoa; Chordata; Mammalia; Carnivora; Felidae.